Molecule: non-coding RNA, 503 nt
Organism: Kogia breviceps (pygmy sperm whale)
Lineage: Eukaryota; Metazoa; Chordata; Mammalia; Artiodactyla; Physeteridae
Source: RefSeq, a predicted model, not a curated record
ACGGUGAACAAGAAGUAGCAGGCACCCUUGAUGAUAACACACGUGUGCCGCAGGGUGGAGGAUAAACUGUGCGUCAUCUCCUCCCCACCGCUUCACGCUGGUCUCCUGACUUAUUACUGGGACCCAGUAAAGUUUGAACACCUGACCGUGGGACACCAAGGGCAUCGUGACCUGAACGGCACGUCACAUCCUGGGUGCAGUCAAGCUACCAAACCAUGACGCUGGGCACGCACAGCAGCAUCUGCCAUCCAUGGAGAAGUUGCAAGAAGGCAGAUGAGAUGGGAUCUACAGCACCUAAAAUAGUGGCUGGCACACAACGGGCAGCUCAUUAGACCUUGAAUGAAGUCACUGAGGUUACUCUGUGCCAGCUCUCUCAGCCUCUCUUUGCCUGGACUACCGGAUACAGCCUAGCGACUACCCAGCAGGAUGUGUCCCCCGGACCACGCACCCUCUGCCUCCCCUUAAGCUGGACACCUCUUACUGGCACCCUCACCUGACACGCC